CGUAGGGUGCAAGCGUUAAUCGGAAUUACUGGGCGUAAAGCGUGCGCAGGCGGUUUUGUAAGUCUGAUGUGAAAUCCCCGGGCUCAACCUAGGAAUUGCAUUGGAGACUGCAAGGCUAGAAUCUGGCAGAGGGGGGUAGAAUUCUACGUGUAGCAGUGAAAUGCGUAGAUAUGUGGAGGAACACCGAUGGCGAAGGCAGCCCCCUGGGUCAAGAUUGACGCUCAUGCACGAAAGCGUGGGGAGCAAACAGGAUUAGAUACCCUGGUAGUCCACGCCCUAAACGAUGUCUACUAGUUGUCGGGUCUUAAUUGACUUGGUAACGCAGCUAACGCGUGAAGUAGACCGCCUGGGGAGUACGGUCGCAAGAUUA
RNAcentral lists this ribosomal RNA (370 nucleotides) under uncultured organism. RNAcentral describes it as "bacterial SSU rRNA". It matches the Rfam family "Bacterial small subunit ribosomal RNA", at positions 526 to 896 of the family's 1533-position model. The record is from RNAcentral.